UUAAUCAUUGCUUUGGUUUUCCUGCAAAGAAGAUCGCGGAGGAGAUAUGUUGCGAUGGCCCUGAAACCAACUGAGGGAGUUGCUGAAAUCUCAAUGGCCGAAUCUUUACAGUAUAGCUUAACUGAAAUUCAAAUUGCCACAAAUAACUUCUCUGUGGAUAACAAAAUUGGCGAAGGUGGAUUUGGUCGUGUAUACAAGGGUGUACUUGGUAAUGGACAAGAAGUAGCUGUUAA
Molecule: long non-coding RNA, 233 nt
Organism: Coffea eugenioides
Lineage: Eukaryota; Viridiplantae; Streptophyta; Magnoliopsida; Gentianales; Rubiaceae
Exons: 3
Source: RefSeq, a predicted model, not a curated record